Molecule: transfer RNA, 110 nt
Filed under: Promethearchaeota archaeon
Lineage: Archaea; Promethearchaeati; Promethearchaeota
Description: Candidatus Lokiarchaeota archaeon (anaerobic digester metagenome) tRNA-Arg
Source: RNAcentral
GGGCGCGUCGUCUAGCAAGGCCAGAACGAUUCUAUCGUUCUCCCUGGAAUGGAUAGGGCACCAGGUUGCGGACCUGGGCUUCGCCGGUUCGAAUCCGGCCGUGCCCGCCA